GUGCUCGCUUCAGCAGCACAUAUACUAAAAUUGGAAGGACACAGAGAAGAUUAGCAUGGCCCCUGUGCGAGGAUGACACGCAAAUUCGUGAAGCAUUCCAUAUUUUU
Callithrix jacchus (white-tufted-ear marmoset) is the source of this 107-nucleotide small nuclear RNA. Lineage: Eukaryota; Metazoa; Chordata; Mammalia; Primates; Cebidae. The record is from Ensembl.